RNAcentral lists this ribosomal RNA (60 nucleotides) under Streptomyces polyasparticus. RNAcentral describes it as "Streptomyces sp. TRM66268-LWL partial 23S ribosomal RNA". The record is from RNAcentral. Lineage: Bacteria; Bacillati; Actinomycetota; Actinomycetes; Kitasatosporales; Streptomycetaceae.
GAAGCCCUGUAAAGGGUGGAGCUGACCGGUACUAAUAGGCCGAGGGCUUGUCCUCAGUUG